CUGGGCUCGAACGGCUGGUUAACGGCGGUGGAAACACUGCUACUCCGCAAGGAGGUCCAGUCGAGGUGCUGCAUGGCUGUCGUCAGCUCGUGUCGUGAGAUGUUGGGUUAAGUCCCGCAACGAGCGCAACCCUUGUCCUGUGUUGCCAUCCCGCAAGGGGGCACUCGCAGGAGACCGCCAGCGAUAAGCUGGAGGAAGGUGGGGAUGACGUCAAGUCCUCAUGGCCUUUAUGUCCAGGGCUACACACGUGCUCAAUGGCCGGUGCAAAGCGCUGCUAAGUCGCGAGACGGAGCCAAUCGCAAAAAACCGGUCUCAGUUCGGAUUGCAGGCUGCAACUCGCCUGCAUGAAGCUUGGAAUCGCUAGUAGUGGCGUAUCAGAACGAUGCCGUGAAUACGUUCCCA
This 402-nucleotide ribosomal RNA is filed under the name uncultured bacterium. RNAcentral describes it as "bacterial SSU rRNA". It matches the Rfam family "Bacterial small subunit ribosomal RNA", at positions 975 to 1375 of the family's 1533-position model. The record is from RNAcentral.